UCCAGCUCCCGCUCAGCUGCAGUCGACGCGUUAGGCCCAAUUGAUUAGAUGGUGCUUGCACCUGAUUGAUUUUGGUCGCCAACGAGUGGCGGACGGGUGAGUAACACGUAUGUAACCUGCCCAGAAGCGGGGGACAACAUUUGGAAACAGAUGCUAAUACCGCAAAACAACGUUGUUCGCAUGAACAACGCUUAAAAGAUGGCUUCUCGCUAUCACUUCUGGAUGGACCUGCGGUGCAUUAGCUUGUUGGUGGGGUAACGGCCUAACAAGGCAAUGAUGCAUACCCGAGUUGAGAGACUGAUCGGCCACGAUGGGACUGAGACACGGCCCAUACUCCUACGGGAGGCAGCAGUAGGGAAUCUUCCACAAUGGGCGCAAGCCUGAUGGAGCAACACCGCGUGAGUGAAGAAGGGUUUCGGUUCGUAAAGCUCUGUUGUUAAAGAACAACACGUAUGAGAGUAACUGUUCAUACGUUGACGGUAUUUAACCCGAAAGUCACGGCUAACUACGUGCCAGCAGCCGCGGUAAUACGUAGGUGGCAAGCGUUAUCCGGAUUUAUUGGGCGUAAAGAGAGUGCAGGCGGUUUUCUAAGUCUGAUGUGAAAGCCUUCGGCUUAACCGGAGAAGUGCAUC
RNAcentral lists this ribosomal RNA (632 nucleotides) under Lactiplantibacillus plantarum. RNAcentral's name for it is "bacterial SSU rRNA". It matches the Rfam family "Bacterial small subunit ribosomal RNA", at positions 1 to 627 of the family's 1533-position model. The record is from RNAcentral. Lineage: Bacteria; Bacillati; Bacillota; Bacilli; Lactobacillales; Lactobacillaceae.